RNAcentral lists this ribosomal RNA (253 nucleotides) under uncultured bacterium. RNAcentral's name for it is "partial 16S ribosomal RNA". It matches the Rfam family "Bacterial small subunit ribosomal RNA", at positions 524 to 776 of the family's 1533-position model. The record is from RNAcentral.
UACGUAGGGUGCGAGCGUUGUCCGGAAUUAUUGGGCGUAAAGGGCUCGUAGGCGGUUUGUCACGUCGGGAGUGAAAACUCAGGGCUUAACCCUGAGCCUGCUUCCGAUACGGGCAGACUAGAGGUAUGCAGGGGAGAACGGAAUUCCUGGUGUAGCGGUGAAAUGCGCAGAUAUCAGGAGGAACACCAAUGGCGAAGGCAGCUCUCUGGGACGGUACUGACGCUGAGACGCGAAAGCGUGGGGAGCGAACAGG